This 538-nucleotide ribosomal RNA is filed under the name fungal sp. SNB-LAP1-7-42. RNAcentral describes it as "eukaryotic LSU rRNA". Lineage: Eukaryota; Fungi. The record is from RNAcentral.
GCUCUACACCCUUUGUGACAUACCUACAACUGUUGCUUCGGCGGGUAGGGUCCCCGUGACCCUCCCGGCCUCCCGCCCCCCCGGGCGGGUCGGCGCCCGCCGGAGGAUAACCAAACUCUGAUUUAACGACGUUUCUUCUGAGUGGUACAAGCAAAUAAUCAAAACUUUUAACAACGGAUCUCUUGGUUCUGGCAUCGAUGAAGAACGCAGCGAAAUGCGAUAAGUAAUGUGAAUUGCAGAAUUCAGUGAAUCAUCGAAUCUUUGAACGCACAUUGCGCCCGCCAGCAUUCUGGCGGGCAUGCCUGUUCGAGCGUCAUUUCAACCCUCAAGCUCUGCUUGGUGUUGGGGCCCUACAGCUGAUGUAGGCCCUCAAAGGUAGUGGCGGACCCUCCCGGAGCCUCCUUUGCGUAGUAACUUUACGUCUCGCACUGGGAUCCGGAGGGACUCUUGCCGUAAAACCCCCCAAUUUUCCAAAGGUUGACCUCGGAUCAGGUAGGAAUACCCGCUGAACUUAAGCAUAUCAAUARGSSGGRRGGAA